GGACAAUUUCCGUUCUAGGAGGGGGUGACAGCUGCAGAGCGGGCUAUCUCACCGCCACCCCCCCACCCCCUCAAGCUCCAGCUUGACUCUCAUCUAGAAAAACUGCUAAAUCAACACUACGCAGUUACUGCCCGCCAGGCACCCUGCGGGCAGUGGGGGCGAAGAGCCGGAGGGGAAAUGCAGAAGUGGCCGCCACCUCUUCCAAGAGGAGGGAGUUGCUCACCCACGCGUGGUCGAGAGCGCCCAGAGCAGUUACCAUCGCCCUCCAAACACAGGGCUGAGAGUGGGGUCUGAUGGGGACAGUGCGCGCCAGAGAUCUCCAAGCAGCUGCCCCCGCAGGCGGAGCGCCCGCCCAGCACCGAGAGUGAUCUGCGACCGACCAUACUGCGGCUUGGGGAGGCUUGGGUACAGCAGCGGCCACCGAGCGAUCACCGCGCUAAGUCUCACAGGCUCCGGUGCUCCGAGGCUCAGGUUGCGGGCGCCCCCCGCCCCUCCCAAACACCGGCCCCUCCUUCCCCGUCCCUGGCUCUCCGCACCUGAACUUCGGGGGAACCCGCGCCGCCAAACUUUCCACCGACUUGCAGCGAACUCCGGCCCCGGCCGCGCACCGAGCCCCGGGGGAGGAGGGAGGUAGGCGGGGAAGGGGAGGGGGCCGGCCUCCGGGGGGGUCGGGGGAGGGCCAUGGCCCGACACCUACCGGCUCUCCGAGUCGUCCAAGCAGCCACCGCCGCCGUCGCCGCGAGGCCGAGGGGGAGGGGCGGGGCGGGGAGUUGCGCCCCGCUCUGGGCACCUCCGCCGCGGUGCGCUCCGCUCCAGCCUCCCGCCGAGCCCGGGUCCGGAGCCGGAGUCGCGCCGCCGCGGCUGGCCCGAGGCGGGGAGGGGGGGGAGCCUGCAGCACCUGCCCCUCCUCCCCCUCCCCGCGGCCCAAAUUAAAAAACAACAAAAAGCAACUAAUCACCCCCGAGCGGAGCGCGGCGCGGCGGGUGGAGGGCUGAGAGUGCGGCGCCCGGACUCAGCAGGCGGCGCGCAUGGUUGGGCGCGGGAUGGGCAGGGCUGGGACGCGGGGCCCGGCUUAGGGGGGCGAGGCUCGGCUGCUCUUCUCGCUCGGCUCGGACGCCUGCUCUCGCCGCCACCGCCGCCUCUGCUGCCGCCAGUGCCGCCGCCUCUACAGCCCAGCUCAGGCUCCGCCGCCUCUGCCGCCGCCGCCGCGCGCCCGCCCGGGCAGGAGCUCUGAACGCUGCCCGGGUGCUGCCAGCAAAACCCGGACCGGACUCACCGCUCCCUCCUCCUUCCCCCUCCCCCUUCCCCCUCCCCCCUCACCUCGGCUCCCCUCCCUCCUCCCGCCGCCUCCCUCCCAGCGUAGCUCUGGCCACUUGGACGCCGCAAGCUCUGAGGCCAGAGCCGCAGCCGCUGAGCCCAGCUCCCCACGCCCUGACGAGCUCGGCCCAGGCUCAGCUCCCCCGCGCGCCCUAUCUUCACCUUUUUCCCCGCAACUUUACAAAAAAAGGGGGGGAACCUCCCUCCUUUUGUGAGGAGCGCCUGGGCUUGGAGAUGCACCUUCCGGGAAAUCCGCCCUCUCUCUGACCCCUCUUCAGCGGGGCAAGAAACUACGAGGACCGGGAGGGAGGGUUUGGCCGCGACCCCAACUCAGCUGCGCGUCUCCGGAACUAGACGCUUGUUCAAAGACCCCACCCUUCCCAGAGCACCUGUCUGGACUCAUUGGGCACUAGUUCCCCGGGAGAAAACGGCGGAGGUUCCUAUCCCCAUUUCACAGAUGAGGAAACUGACCCGAGGAAGGACAUUUUGUCUCCUACGCAGGCACCAGCCGAAGCUCUGAGUCCUAGGGCUAAGACGACUACAGUGUGGUGCCCUGAGACCGUGGCAUACGAACUCAGGCCUGAAACGGUGCCUGGAACAGAGCAGCGCUCAACAGAUCUGGUUGAAAGAGAGAAGGAAAACUCAGGCCUGCCCGAGCAGGCCCCUAAGCCCUCAUAUCCUCACCCUCACGCCAUCAGUGCCUCCUCCAUUCGCCCAGCGUGGGCUAAUUCUAAGGCUGCAGAUGUCUUCUCGCCACUUCAGGGACCCACAGACCGAGCCCCUUGGCUCAUAUAUUCCCAAACUGCAUAUAAUCCCAAAGUGGAAGUUUUCUCCAAUUCUCUGGAAUUCGUGGGGAGGGUUUGUGCAGCAAGGUAGACCUUCUGCGAGGCAGAGAAAACCGCAGCCCCCAGAUCCUAGCGGAGGAGGCAGGAGGGGCAGGGCAGUUGGGGAAGUCUGCCUAAGGUUAAACGUUACAGCCUCAGAUCGAUUGGGGCCCAGAUAAGAGGGAGUUAACUGUGGCGACCGGGGCGCCUCCAGCCUCCAGCCACAGGCGCGUCCUCUGUGGGAGAAGUGAAACUGUCUCCCACCUCUCCGCUUCCUUUCCUCUCCUCUGUGUGGCCUGGCUGUCUCCAAGGCUCGCGCGAGAACCGUGGGGGCUUGGGUCUCCCAAGACCAGUGGCCCGUGCCCACCCUCCAAACCUUCUAUGUGUGGCCUCAGAACCUUGACCCAGCCACAGGGUGAGGUGGUAGGGGAGGUGUCAAAGGGCAGAGCUCAUCUGGAAUGUGUUGUCUCUCUCCCACUCCUGAUAUCCCAGGCCACACAGAAUGACUCCUUUCUAGACAUGUGGACACCCCCUCCCAGCCAGUUCCUUUCUUGCAUAAAUACUAAGUGUCCUCCUUUACCUACUGUGCCAAGGAAUGGCUGGCCCAGGUUAGACGGUGGAUCUUGGAGUCUUGUCCUUCUGAAAAUUAAGAACUGAUGGGAGACACAGACCUUCUUCUAUCUGACCCAGGUGGGAACCAGAGAGGAAGGGGAGAGAAUUGUCCACAUGGAAAAUGCAACAUGAAUAGGAAAUGUCAUAUACAAGCCAUCCACAUAGAACUCUCCACCAUAGAUGACAAGUGAGACAAGUGAGGGACAUCCAGGAAGGAUGGAGUGGGGGUCUCUGCCCUUGGGGGAGACCAUCCGCACCCCAGCCACCUUCCCCAAGAAGAAGGGAAGCCACCCUCGUUCACUAUUUCUUCUCCUUUCUCUUCCUCCAAAAAGGAAUAUUUAAGUCUCACAUUGUUAUUAAACUUUCUGCUGAAUUCUUUCAACCAAUAAAUCAGCCUUCAACUCA
Long non-coding RNA from Cynocephalus volans (Philippine flying lemur), 3158 nucleotides. RefSeq lists it as uncharacterized. Lineage: Eukaryota; Metazoa; Chordata; Mammalia; Dermoptera; Cynocephalidae. The record is from RefSeq and is a predicted model, not a curated record. The transcript has 3 exons.